Molecule: long non-coding RNA, 27021 nt
Filed under: Elaeis guineensis (African oil palm)
Lineage: Eukaryota; Viridiplantae; Streptophyta; Magnoliopsida; Arecales; Arecaceae
Description: long non-coding RNA (EGUI_LNC035992)
Source: RNAcentral
UAGCUUAUGUCAAGUAUUUAAAGAUAAAUAAGCUUGGAUCAAAGUUCGAUAAAUACUUGGUUGUAGGGUAUCCAAAGGAAACUAAAGGGUACUACUUCUAUCUUUCUAAAGAACAAAAGAUGUUCAUAAGCAACAGGACAGUCUUUUAGGAAAAGUUCUUUGGAGAAGGAGCUAAUACCAAUAAAAUUGAACUUGAUGAAGUUCAUGAGAUAGAAGAACCGACACAUACAGAAUCGGAUUUGAUUGGAGAAUCAAAUUUGGAGCCUGUAGAGGCACCAUUAAGGAGAUCCGGUAGAGUAUCACACCAAUCGGAUAGAUACUAUGAUUUUUUGAUCUGGGAUGGUGAUCCUAUCGAACUCGAUAAGAAUGAUGAGGAUCUGAUCACCUAUAUGGAUGUUAUGUAAAGGCCCGACUCUCGAAAGUGGCUUGAAGCCAAAAAAUCCGAGAUAGAGUCCAUGGAGAUCAAUGAUGUAUGGAUACUAGUUGAUUUACCCGAAAGAAUAAAAUUCAUAAGGUGCAAGUGGAUUUGUCAAAGAAAAAGAGGAACAGAUGGAAAGGUAGAGACCUAUAAAGCCCAUCUAGUUGUCAAGGAUUACCGUCAGUAUUAUGGUAUUGAUUAUGACGAGACAUUCUCUCUUAUGAUAAUGCUCAAGUCCAUCCGGAUUAUGCUUGCGAUAGCUGCAUAUUUAUAUUAUGAGAUCUGGCAAAUGGAUAUCAAAACCGCUUUCCUUAACAAGGAGUUGGAAGCAGAGGUGUAUAUGAUACAACUUAAAGGGUUCACAUCCACAGACGAAUCUAAGGUGUGCAAACUAAAUAGGUCUAUCUAUGGACUGAAGCAGGUAUCUAGGAGUUAGAACAUGCAUUUUGAUAAGAUGAUCAAAACAUAUGACUUCAUUAGGAAUGGAGAAGGGCCUUGUGUCUAUAAAUAGACUAACAAUUCUGUAAUCAUCUUCCUUAUACUGUAUGUAGAUGAUAUACUAUUAAUAGAAAAUGACAUUCCAGCUUUGCAGAGUGUAAAACUAUGACUCUCAUCAUAGUUCUCCAUGAAAAAUUUGGGAGAAGUAUACUACAUACUAGAGAUGAAGAUCUAUAGAGAUAGAUCUAAAAGAUUGCUUAGAUUGUCUUAAUCUAUGUACAUCGAUACCAUGUUGAAAUGGUUCAAUAUAGAGAAUUUCAAUAAAGGCUAUCUUUUGAUAGGUCAUGGGAUUACUCUCUCCAAGAAAGAUUAUCUGAUAACUCCUCAAGAGAGAGAGCGUAUGAGUAGAAUCUUAUAUACUUCAGCAGUGGGGUCUAUCAUAUACGUCAUGAUAUGUAUGAGACUGGAUAUGGCCUAUUCAUUAGGGAUAGUUAGAAGAUAUUAUUCUGAUCCGGAUGAAAAUUAUUGGAAGGUUGUUAAGACAAUCUUUAAGUAUUUAAAAAAUAUCAAGGACUAAUGGCUUAUAUAUGAGGAUACUGACUUGAAACUUUUGGGAUAUAUUGAUUUCAAUUUUCAAUCAAACCAUGAUAACAACAGAAGCAUGUCGGACUAUAUAUUUACUUUCAAUGAAGGAGUGAUUUGCUGGAAGAGUUUCAAGCAACAUACUAUAGCCAAUUCUAUAUGCAAAGUAGAAUACAUUGCUAUAUCCGAUGCUGCAAAGGAGACGGUAUGGUUGUAAAAGUUUGUCACCAAGCUUGGAGUUACAUCCUCUGUUGAUGACCCUGUUCUGUUGUAUUAUGACAGCACUGAAGCCAUAGCUCAAACGAAAGAACCAAAGUCACACCAGCAUAUCAACUACAUUCUGUGUCGCUAUCAUUUUAUACAUGAGAUCAUGGAUCGAGAUGACGUCAAGCUUCAGAAGAUCGAUAGAAAUGAGAGCAUGGCUGACCCCUUCACUAAAGCUCUCAGGAUUAAAGAGUUCGAUGAUCAUAAGUGGAAGAUGGGUAUAAGAUACUGCCUCGAUUGGCUUUAGUUCAAGUGAGAGUUGUUGAAAAAUAUAUCAUAAAGCUAAUUAUUUGAUGAUUAUACUCAUUCUAUAAUAUUUAUAUGAAUUAUUAAUCAAUGAAUAAAAGUUAUUUUGGUAUCAUUCAUCACAAAGAUACAUCUUUCUUACUAGAACUCUUGUAUUGUGAUGAAGUCCUUAGAACUAUAAAGUAAUCAAUAAAAAAAAUUUAUCAUAUAGUUCUUAAACAUGUUCAUGACUAAAUGAUACAUCAUUAAAGGACGAUGAUGUUUAUCGAGUGAAGGUCAUUGUGUGCCAUAUGGAUUGAUUGUCCUCUUAAUCAAGAAAUGUGGAGACACUGGUAUGGCAUACAUAGGAGAUAUAGGAGUACAUCAUCACAGAAUAAGUGACUCACUUGUUGAGCACUCUGCUGUCAAGAGUAACUUGUGAAGUGUAUAAACAUAAGUGUCUCUCAGACCUGAGAUCACAAUAGUGACUUACAAAUAACUCACUAUGCUUUAGCACCAAACUAUUUGCAUUUCUAAUGCAGUAACGAAAGGCUACUGAGUAUCGUCAAGUACUUACAAAGUCUGUGUGUGGAUCAAGAUGAAAUUGAUUUCCUCCCGGAUUAUAGGAGCUGAUGCAUCAUUGUAUUUCAAUUUAGUAAAAUCAUGGCCAGAGUAAUCCUAUGAUAGAUUUGAAAGGUUGGAAUACAAUAUGGAUGAUCCUUCAGGGUUGACAGUUUAACCCAAGACCGUCCUAGAGCAUUCAAGAUCAAAGGGAUGAAUUAUGGAGUAACCAUAUGCAUAGAUUCUUCAAUAUUAUCUUAUGUUAAUUUGAUCUAUCUGAACAUCAAAAAUUAUUGCUAGAUGGUAACUUUGAUUAGUACAGAAAAUGAUUUCUAUGCUACCGACUUAGUGUUCGAAUAUAUGGAGUCAUGCAUAAAGUCAAGUGAUGUAGGAAAGAAUGGAUCUAAGUCUAUAUGUUUAAUUUGAAAGUACAUGACUUGAUUGAAUAAAUAGAUUAACUUUAUUGAGAAUUAAGUUAUGGAUCAUACGGAAUUAAACAGUUGUCUAUGUCUGGCUAGCACUAGACAUGAGGUUCAGGUUCAAUUUUAGAGAUGAACGAGAUUUGAUCUUUGAUCCAAGGAGUCUAUGAGAGAUUGAAUUUAAGUGCUAAUUAAAUUCAGAUUAGAUCUAAUUUAAUUAGACUUAAUUAGGUUCAUAAAUCUAAGUUAGACUUGGUCUUAAAUCUUAAAUAGUUUGGAAUUGACAGCCUAAUCAAAAUUAUUUUGAAUCAGAUUCGAAUUAGAUUCGAAUUGACCUAUAUUUAGAUGAGAUCCUUAGAAUCUACUUUUACUUAGACUCUCUCUCCUUCAUGGUCGACCAACAUUAGGUGGGGUGCUGGUUAUUACCGCCCCACAUGGGGUGUGGGCAUGGGUGCAAGUAGGUGCCUAGUGAGAUGCCAAUCCUUUCUCUCUUAGGACUCCUUUGAUAAGAUGUAGAUUAAUUCAAAGCUUAUUUGAAUUAAAAAUUUUAGUCUUACGGAUUAUGAAAAAUCAUCUAUAAAUAAGGGAGACCUCUAACUAUCAUGGCAUAACAAUUGGAUUGUGUGCUAAGGAGAGAAAGAGAGAGAGGAUGCAUGAAGGUGUAGUGGGCAUCCCCUUCUCCUUGGCAUCACCCACCCUUGGCAUCCCACCUUCCCACGGCGUGAAGGCUCUCUUGGGUGUCCUUCUUGCUGGUGUGAGGCAUCACACCAAAGGCUCUCUCUCUUCUCUUUGGUGCCUUGUGAAGGUGCUUCAAUCUGAGACUUCAUCCCAUUUUUCUGUGAAGUUUGACAUAUGUGCGAAAUAGAGGGUUUGUGGAUUCAGACCUACGCAAGGUUUUGGAUUUAGAAUCUUUGAGAUUUGAUUUCUAUUCCGCUGCAUAUCAGGUAAAAAUCUAAUCUUUAAUUAAGUGAUUUAUAGAAAAUAAUUAGAUGCACCUUGGCUAUCCAUUGUGUUUUUGAUAGAAACAGACUUUCAUUCCUUACAUUUCUCACCCUAAGAAAUUUGAAAAUAAAUACAAUAACAAUAAAGUUUAAAGGAGAAAAAAAUGCUCAAUAAAGGCUGAAGAAGAAGCUGGAGUUGCUUUGCUUAUUGGCUUGGCUUCUUCUCUUUGAAUGCUUGAGAGAUGUGAGUGAGAUCUUCAAUGAUGAUUCUCUGACUUCUCUCAACUUGAGGAUGGUGGAAGAAUAAUAAAAAAUCAGUAUGACAUUCUUUCCUUUCACUAUUUAGCUCAAAAUAGAAAAAUUCUUCACUAGAGUUUCAAAAGAUGUUUUUCAAUGCUCUAAGAUUUUUUUAUAUAAUGCUGAUAUUUUCUACUACUUAAAAUCAUCUGAAGAUUCUCUGAAAAGUGUUUGAUCUAUUAGAGAUACAAAAAUAGCCAUUGUAGGGCGCAUGAGAUAAAAAGCUGCUCUUUCUAAAAACUAGUCACUACAGAUAUUGGGUCGGCUCAGUUUUUCUCUUAGUCAGCUCAAUUCAUUACUGGAUUGGUUUAGUUCUUCAUUGGAUCAGUUAAGUUUUAACAAGCUAAAAAUUAGACUUUCUAUCUUUUGAUGUGUUCUCAGACUUGAUCGGCUAUCUUUCUGGCUGAGUCGGCUAGGUUGCUCAUUGAGUCGGCUUAGUUAAAAACUGGAUCGGCUCAAUCCCCUGGGUCCUAAAAUUUUACUUUCUGUGCUUUCUAUUUUCUAUGUCUUUUCAGACUGGGUCAGCUCAGUUAUUGACUGGGUCGGCUCAAUUUGCGUGUCAAACAGGUUAUGAGUUGUUUACCAGCCAUUCUUCUUCAAUUUUCUUUCUAGGCUAGAUUUACCUUGUUUACUUAAUUUUAUUCCUUAUUAAAAUUCUUCCAAGGUGUGUUUAGUCCGGAGAGCUUUCAUAAAUGAUUUGAUUGAUGGUUCUCCAUUUUGAUUUGCAAAAAAACACUUAAGGCAAGUAAGCAAAUUGAAUUUAAAGCUAUACAUCCUUAAGAGCCAUGUUAGUAAUCUAACAAUUUAUACUCAAAUGCUUUUGUUAUCAUCAAAAUCAAUCUCUGGGUCAACAUAAUAAUUUCUUCAUCUUUUAAUUAUGUAGUUUAUUCUGAAUGUAGGGUUUCACGAUAAUGAAUGAAUGAAGAUGGAGGAAAAAUAAUUUGUUGGAAUUCAACUCAUGUGAAGAAUUUUAGAAAAUUGGACUACAGCCAAAAGUUGUGACUUGCAUAUGCAUAAAUUUUGUAUGUUGUGACUGUAGCCAAAAGUUGUGAUUCACUGCCUUAGUGCCAUUGGCUGAUGGCUUGUAAUCAUGUACUUUUUGUAUUAACUGUGUUCCUUUGAUGGCCUUAAGGUUGCGUUUGACAGCUGGUAAUCUAUCCAGAUUAUUGAUAAUUUAAUAUAUAUCUGGAUUAUCAUAUUUGAUACAUUUUUUGGAUUGAUAAUCCAAAUUAUCUUGGCAAUCCAGAUUACCUCCCAAGAGAUAAUUUGAAUUACCAAGAGGAGAGAUGGCUAUAUUGAUUAUCACUACUUUGGUAAUCUUGAAAUAAAGUUUCUAGAUGAAAUUGCCCUUGUCCCCUCCCCACGUGGUGCCACCCGUCACUCGUCCGUCCCUAUCCCCAACUCCCUCUCCCAUGACCGCGCCGCCUACCGCUGCUCCGCGCUCUUGACCAUUGCUCCUCUCACGGCAGGGCCGCCUCCUAUGCUGCUUUCGUGGCCAUCGCCGUCAUCCUUUCUACCGCCACCUCCCUCUCUGUCCGUCUCCUACCCUCCACCGCUGCGAUCCCCUUGUACCAGCUGGUCCAGCUCCCAGAGUCAGGCCUCACUACCAUCUCUUUCCUGACCUUUGCCACCUUCUUCCACCGGCAUAGCUUCUAGUGGGGUGGGUGAGGGCGGCGGCAUGGGUGGGUGAGGACAGCGAUAGAGACGGCCGCGGAGGGUGUGGGGUAUGGGUUCGCCAAGGAGUGAUAUGGGAGGCACGAUGAUCGGAGGGCAGUGCUGGAGGUGCGACGGUCGAGAGGCGGUGCCGAACGGUCGAGGGAGGGGGGAGGGGGGUCGAGGUGUGGCGUGCGGGGGAAGAAGAAGGAAGAAGGAAAAAUAAAAAUAUUAAAAAUAAUAAUAAUUUUUUUCAUAUAAUAUUUUUUAUCAUUAAAAAAUUAAAUAAAUAGUUUAAAAUAUUAAACUAAUAAUUUAAUUUAAAAAUAUUUUAAAAAUUUGAUAUUACAUUAUCAGUAAUUUGAUUGUCAUACCAAAUAUGUCAAUCAAAAUUUACAAUAAUUUUACUAUAAUAUUACUUGCAUAUAUUAAACAUAGUAAUCAAUAUUACGGAUAAUCUAUUCAGAUUGCAAGUAAUUCAGAUUAUCAGGUAAUCCAGAUUAAGAUUGCCUAGUAAUGUAUCAAAUAUAAGCUAAGUUAUUUUAUUGUCAAGGUGAAUAUCUACAUUCAUGUACAUUUGCAUGUGGUUGCAUCUGGUUUUUCUUUUUUCAGCCAUAAUUUUCGUAUUUUGGCCUAUUCUUCUGUUUUUACAAGUGAUUCUAUCAUGGCUUAUUCGAAUGUCCGCAAUGGAGGUAGAAACAUAUGAUAAGAUCGCUCCACAGUCUCAAUAUGCUAAUAUGAUUUCAUUAGUAGAAUAUGCUUUAGGUAUAUGUGUCAAGGAUGUGUAUUUUCCAUCUCAUAGUUGUGCUUAUUUCUUCGUUGUGGUUGUGUGUGUUUCUGUAAAUACGGAAACAACGUGUGGAUGCAUGUUGAGUAUAUUUUUUGUAUUUUAUUAAUAAUGCAAGAUUCUUAUGAUGCCAUUGAGCAAAAACCAAUUAAAUAUGAAUACUAUAUUGCUGCCAUACAUUUAUACUGCUGUUGCAGUGUUAUAAACUUGUGUGGAAUUGUCCUUGAUUGAACCUUCUACAGAAAGCCCAGAUCAGAAAACUAAAUUUCUGCUCUGAUUUUCUGUAUGCUCUGCUGAUUAUUUUAGUGAAAGAAAUAGAAUGAUGCUCCAGGAGGUUGUAAAUCAAUCCUGCAUCAACAAAGUGGAAGAAGAAAAAAUUGGUCACAGCAAACUCCUCUCUUUUUAUAGCCAUAGACUGCACUGAUACUCCCGAAAAUUCGGGCCUAAGCUUGGUUUGAAUAGUUUCAGACCUGAUUCAGACUUGGACGUUGGCCGAUUCAAUUGGACUCGGAUCUGUAUUUUUUUAAAAAAAAUCAGAUCAAAAUUCGGUCUAAAAUCUGAAAAAUUAUUUCGAAUCAAACUUGAACAGAAAUAGGAUCCGAUCCAUUCCGACUUAGGCUUAGCCUCAUCUGUUCCUUAAACUCUGACUAAUUUAAACAUUAAAGGCUCUUCCACGGGAUAAAUUUCAACAAGAGAACUGUUUAUAAGUGUACCCUCCUUUUAAAAUACAAGACGCACUUGGCACUCAAUCGAAUAACUCUUGAGAGUUUGGCAGCAACAAUGCUGAUAUAUUGAAGAUCUAUUAAAUUAUAUUCACAAUUUAUGCAAGCCUUCCUUUAAAUUUAUUUAGUUCCUAAAUUUUAGACUUGGUUAAAUUUUCAUGCCUCUAUGUAAUUGAUUUUUAAACUCCCAUGUCUAUCGUGCAGUUAGACGGAGGUACACUAGCCGGAUAUACAAGCGUUCAAUAGAAAGUAAUAAAUAAUUUUUUUAAAAAAAUUAUAAAGAUAUCCUCCAAAUUUGGAUAUUUAUAUUUAAAUAAUAAAAAAUUAAAAAAAAUCAAGCAAUCACUAAAAUUUUAAAUUUAUUGUAAUGUGAUCUAUUUAUUUAUCUUCAUUCAAAAAUAUUAUCAUGUGAUGUGAUGGUCACUCGAUAACUAAAUUUUUAUAAAAUUUUUUAAAUACCUUUCUCAAUAAAUUAGCGGGGGCUCUUACUCUGGCAGAAAUUGAAAGGGAGGGGAAAGAAGAGUCAUGCACUAACUAGUUGCUCUAAGAUCUGUGAAAAUGAGUUGGAUCGCCCACUGGAUGCUAUGAGAGUUGUGCAUAUGGCUUGGAUCAUCCACUGAUUGCUUUGAGAUAUGUGAAGGCGGGUUGGAUCAUCCAUGGGUUGCUUUGAGAUACAUCCAGGCGAGUUGGAUCACCCACUGUCUGCUUUGAAAUCUAUGCGAGUGGAUGAAUUAUGGAAGAUAGGGUGCUUUGAGAUUUCAUAUGGUGGGUGAUCUGUAGGCGAUACAAGUGAAAUUUCGCUAGAGAUCAGGGGAGGUUGAAUUCGUGAUCGAAGUUGAGGCGGGCAGGGGCAAAGAGGUCACAACAGAGAAGGAUCCGAGCAUGAAGGAAGAUAGUGUAGCUGAUGGCAGGGGAUGUGGUGGGGAGGAAAAGGGUGUGGUCGAUGGCAGCCGUGGAUGGGAGGAAGCAGAUGAAGUAGGCGACGGUGGGAUAGGGGGAACAACAAUGGGAAGGGGAGGCGAAGAGAUGGGGAAAGGGAGGGGUAGAGGAGGUAGGAGUUGGGGAGCAUGAGGGUAAGGAAAUGAGAGGCCUCCGACAAAAGGCUGGCUGCACAAAUCUACUCUCCAUCACCACCUUCCAGAUAGAGGGAGACUAAGGCACCACUCAUGGUCUCGGUUGAAGAGAGAGAUGCUGCCAUUGGGGUCUUCGUGAUGGAGGUGUCCCUUGUGAGGAGGGACUCAAUUGAGGUGGUGGAUGUUGUAUCGGUCGAUGAGGAGGGAGGUGUCAAUGGUUCGAAGGACAAAGGUAUCCAACAAGUUCAUGAACACCACCAUCGCAGUAUCAUUAUUGAACAAUAGUACAUGCCACCUCUCCACGACCACAUUCCUCAUUGACAAACAAGGGUUAUCGGCAAGUGGAGGCGAGCAAAAACGAUUAGAAUUCGGUUAGAAAAAAGAAGACGGCUAAACAAUGAUGAGCAAAAAGGAUCACUCACUGGCUGCCUUGAGAUCUAUGCCAUUCCUCUUUUUGAGAUAUAUGCUGGUGGAAGAACGAUGGAACGCAAGGUGUUUUGAGAUAUGUACGAUAGGUGAUCCAAUAGUAGUCUUGUGGAGAGAAAAAUGAAUAUCCUCUUAUGUGAAAGCGUCAUCCGAUCACUCUCAAUCAAGGAUAUUUCUACAUUUCUUUUUUCCUUGCUUUGGUGUCCGGGUUUAAAUAGAUGGCUGACCCAUAUUGCAAGGAAAAUUAAAUUUUGAGCCAGUUCAAAUAGUUGGGGGUGUAAACGUAGGUCGCCUAAAUUUAGAGGGUACCUCUGUAAUUUUGGCGAAGAAUAAAGCCCUCGUGAGGGCGCUUUCUUUAGCUUUAGACCGAGUUUUCCUUCCGCUUCUGACAGUCUUCCAAAGCAAAGACAAUCGCUCUCACAUUCUGAUUUCUUCCCCAAUAGAAGUUGUUAAAACAACACAACAAAAAUCUUCGAUCCUCCGUCUCCUCUCCUCUCCUCUCAUCUCUUCCUCCGGUUUGGGAUCGGAGGCCUGAGACGAUGGCAGGGCGGCGGGAGGCCCCGCUGAUGCGCGGCAAUGGCCCGCCUUCUCGCGGAUCUCGGAUCGCCAUGGCUGUUGCCAUCGGCAUCAUUCUCGGAUGCGUCUUCGCCUUACUCUUCCCUGACGGCCUCUUCCGCUCUUCUUCCCCAUCUCCUUCUCGCAACCAGCACACCGCCAAAUUGAGUCAGGUACUCUCGAUUCGACUUCAUCUCCUUCUUUUCUUGAUUUUUAUGACUUCUUCGCAUCCAAAGAUGCAAGCUUGGAAAUGCCCCAAUUUCAGAAAUUGUGGUAACUUUAUAAUUCUUCAUAUGCCAACUAUGUGUUUUUAAUUCUUUUUUUUCAAUUUAUAAGUAGAGUUUUGGGUAUCUUAUACCAGACUUUGUUAAAUUUUUAGAACAUAAGGCGGCGAUUUUUAAGUAUGGUAAUAGGCCAAGGGUGGAGCAAUUUUUUCAACCAUUUCCAGGAAGGAAAGCUACACCAUGAUCAAUUCUUCCUAUAUUUGUUCUGUCCUUAUAUAUUGAAUGUUUUUGGCAAUUUUUAUGGAAUUUUCUGAUUAUAUUUAAACUUGUUGAGUAAAACAUUGGACUUAUGUUCACUGUUUAAUAGCCCGUCAAAGAUCAUAACAGCUGCACAUGGUUUCAUCCAAACAUUUGUUGACUACAAACUGUUGUGUUAAGGUAUGAUAUAAUAUCUGAAGAAGUAAUUUAGUGAUGGACUUGUAGAAGGUUGUCCAUAACAGAUUUGUUGAUUACAUGGCUAAAAGCAUGUAUGGCAAUUGAUAGUAGAAGUGAAAACCACUUGUGGCUUGAGAGUCUCUAUUCUAUUGCAGCGCCUUUAGAUCUAUUGUUGUUUGGGUGCAAUAGGGGUGCUAUAUUUAGUUGUUGGUGGGUGAAUAGAGUUAGUCAUUGAUAAGUGAAUGUUACGCAGAUCUUUUUCAUGAUUGAGUAAUUGAAUUUUGACAAAUAGGCAUUCAUAUUAGUGGGAGUGUUGUGGAAAGCUUUCAGUAGGUUAUGAUUAAUGCCACUUGAACAUAUGGACUUCUGCAAUAUGAGAAGCGCCAUCACCAUUGAACAAUUGAGUACAACAUGAUACUGCUUGGUGCAUCCUGAGAGUGAGUCUUAGUGCAACAAUAAGGUUACUCCAUCAUGACUUGGAGAUUAUGGGUUUGAAACACCGAAAUAGCCUCUCCACAUGUGGAAGUAAGGUUACAUACAUUCGAUCCUUCCCAAACUCUAUAAUGGUAGGAAUGCCGUGUGCAUUGGACCGUCUUUUUUCUUUUUGUUGCUUGGCACAUCAUCUAAUGAAUUGAUGAUGCCUGUAGGCAACUUGCAGUGCCAACAUUUGGCAUGGUAUUUUUGACUACCAUAUCCUGGACACCAUAACGUAGGCAUAUCUACCUAUUUCAAAAAAAAUGAAAAAAUGAAAAAAAAUGUAGAUGUUUCUGCUCCAUUCUAAUCAUUUUAAGCAUUUUUUCCCUUGAAAGCAGGAAUACUAAAUUUUGUUAGGUUUCCUCAACUUGAGGUUUUAGCUCUACAUUUUUUAUGGUAUCUGUUUAGUGAUCUGAUUCAUCAAUCAGAUCCGCACCAUAUUUACAUUUUGUCAUUAUGGAUGAUAUACAUUGCAUCAGUAUCUUAGAGGCAAAAUCCUAAUGGCAGUGCAUGGAUUUGAGAAAUUUCUUUAGAUGGUGGACAAAUAAGAAUUGUGAAUUGAGCUAUUCAAAAAUAAGUGCUGGAGGGUUAGCAUCUAUUUUAAAAGAAAAAGGCAAAAAAACCUGAUCAGCAUAUGUCACAAAAUACUAGCAGCCUUGAGAAAGAUAUUCAACUCCAAGAACUAGAUGAAGAUUGUAAUUUCUUUUUGUUGAUCUGAAUUUUUGAACAUUGAAGGACCAGUUGGUGCAGAUUUGAUAUUUGAUUAUUAUAACAACCUAGGAUCUUUCCUAAACAAGCCAGCUAGAAGGUGUUAUUUGGAUUCUUUGGCCCUAUGUAAGUACCUAAAAUCUAUCUAGUAUAUAGCCGAUAUAGAUCUGAAUAUUUGGCUGCAUGGGUCCUCACAUUCUCCCCUAAUUUAAGCCUUAUUGUCCUUGCCAAUAUAAGGAUCUAAAUCCAUUUCAAUCCAAUCACAAGUACCAUAAAUCCAGUCACAAAUACCACAAUUAGCUAUGGUCAACCAAAACAAGCCCAUGCUGCAAUCUCCUGGUCUACAUGGGUCAUUAGCCAAGUUCGCUUUAAUACUAUUCGUAACAACCCUAGACCUCAUCCAAAAUAGCUAACUAGAAGGUGUUAUAUAGGUUCCUUGGAUCCUAUAUAAGUACCCAAGAUUUACCUAGUGCAUCGCUUAAGAUUAAACGUUCUCAUAAUUAUUGAUCUCAGUAAUGGAGGUCUAAUAAUCAAAAUUCCAAUUAUUGAUGAUCCCUAAGAAGAAUUUUAUUAGAAGAUCUAAUUAUUGAAUGGAAACUGUCAUGCAGUCUAUUUUAUCUUUAUUUGAAGGUUUCAAAAAAUUAUUCUUAUCUAAUUGUGAAUUGGAUGAGUUGGGUUGGUAGAAGAGAGUCAGAGAAGUAACAAUGUGAUAGAUUAAUGGAAAGAUAGCUCUUGAACAUCCGAUGGUUGGACUUAAAAAUAGCAUUUUCAUCAGCAAGAAUGUUAGGUGGGAUCAAAGCAUCAAAAAUAGUAGAUAUUAUUAUAUUCUUUAUGGGGGUUAAGGUUUUGAAUUUAGAAUUGAUUGCUUAUAUUUUCUGAAUCUAGUUACGACCACAGCUAGUAAGUUUAAUGAGUAAAGAUCUGAGUGUCAAUUUCAUCUAUAUAAUAUGUGAUUUUGUAGUGAUAAAUUAAUGGUCUUUACUAAUGUGUCUUGAACAUCCAAUAGUUGGACUUAAAGAUUACAUUCAUUAGCAAGAAUUUCUGAUAGGAUCCAAGCACCAAGAAUAUGUAGAUGUUAUUAGAUUCUUUGUAGGGAUUUAGGCUUUGAAUUUAAGAUCGAUUCGUUUAUAUUUUCAGAAUCUAGUUACCACCACUACCAGUAAGUGUCAUGACUAGAGAUCUGAGUGCCCAUUUCUUUUGUAUAAUAUGUGGUUUUGCAGCAAUAGAUUAAUGGCAAGAUAUUACCAUGUUGGUCUGUACCAAUAGGUCUUCGACUUCCAAUGGUUGGACUUAAACAUAACAUUAAUUGGCUAGCAUUUUAGAUGUGGGAUCCAAGCACCAAAAAUAAUUUCAUAUGUAUGGUAUGUGAUUUUGAAGUGUAUGAUUGAUAAACAUCUUCUCGAAGUAUUUGAAGCACCAAAUAGGAUUUUGUAAUGCAUACACACAUGCACGCAUGCAUACACACAUACAUACAAACAUACACAUGCACAUAGACACAUACACAUACAUGUGUACAUACAUGCACACAUACAUAUAUACAGAGAGAGAAAGAGACCUGGCUAAGUGGAUCUCUACUCGGAUUUGAUCAAGUUUAGAUGGGACAAUGAGGGCCUCACAUCGAUGAUCCGAGUCAUUGGAUGUGAUCUAUUACCUUUAGGUUGCUUAUGUUCCAAAAUUUUAUGUGAUUUAGAGACCUUUAGCAUAUGCAUCAAAUGAUCAGAAAAUUAGAUGAUCUAAGUUAAAUUAAAUUAUAUAUCUUUGAUCACUUGACAUAUAGGCUAUGGUUCUUUAAAUCAUAUGAUUUUUCAUGUCUAAAUAAUUUAGAGGUAGUGGAUCAUAUUCAAUGAUUUAAAUCAUCAACAUGGGAUGCCCAUUGUCCAAUAUAGACUUGACCGGAUCUAAGUGGAUAUCCACUUGAGCAUAGCCAAGUCCAGCUCUCUCUCUCUCUCUCUAUAUAUAUAUAUAUAUAUGUGUGUGUGUGUGUGUGUGUGUGUGUGUAUGUACGUGCUUUUAUGCAUACAUUUAUAUGGUUACAUACAUGAUUUUCAGAACCAUCCCGAAUCAGACGGUUCAGGACGUAUCGAACCGGACUGACAGGGAACUGGGAUGUUUCCGGCUUGGAAAGCGGCACAUGCUGGUGCAGAGGAAGAAUGAGAGGAAAAGAGAGGAAGAGAGAGAGGAGAGGAACAUGCUGCCGUCAGAGGACGGCGUUUGCCCGAUGAGGUCGUCGGAGGGCCGCAGAGGCGUCCGUGCUCGGUGUCGCCCGAUAAGGGCUUUAACCCCGAGAGAGGAGAGAGAUGCUAUCGAACUACGGGGAUGGUAGUAGAGAGAUCUCUGGCACUGCUGGAUGGCCGCUAUGGUCAUCGAGCGGUGAAAAAUAUGCAGAUAGAGCCACGGUCGCGGAACAAGAGUGAUCGCUUUUGUUUGUCGCGUCGCAUUUUUUAAAAGCGAUGAUGAAUAGUGAAGCCGGCAAACCCAUUGCGGGCUUCACUAUUUCAAUUUUUUUAAAAAAAAAUCGAGAAACAGUGAAGCCGGCAAUGGAUUUGCCGGUUUUAUUAUUUCAAUAUUUUUUUUAAAAAGUUCAAAAACAGUGAAAUCAGUAAUGCGUUUGCCGGCUUCACACUUUUGUCGGUUUCACUUAAGUGUGAAGCCGGCAAAUCCAUUGCCGGCUUCAUUAUUGUUAGACUUUUUUGAUUGUCUCUAUUUCACGAUCGCAGAGCCGCAGAUGGCGUUUGUGCCGCCCAACGGCCAUGACAGUCAGUCAAAGUCCCUCCGAUAGCCUCUCCACCAGACCUCCCCUCGAUCCUUUUCUCUCUCUCCCCUUUCUUUCUCUUCUCUCUUUUCUCCCACGGAUGACGCGAAGCUGUGGUGGCCACCACGGCUCUCCGAGGGCCCGCACAAUCCUCCGAUGGUCACCAGCGGUAUCUCUGCCGCCUCAACUUGCUUCCUUUCUCUUUCUCUUCCUCAUUUUUUCUCUCUUUCUCUCUUUUCCUCCUCCCCGGUUCAUCUCUUUUUUUGUUAGUUUCCGCUGUUCUGAUCCGAUAUGGGGCCAUACCGAUCCGUACCGCCGGCCAACCGGAAUAGUGUUCGCUACCGAUUUUGAAAAUAUUGGUUAUAUAUGUCUAUUGUGUGUAUACAUGCAUCCAUGUGCACAUACACACAUACACAUACAUACAUGUAUGUAUGAGCAUGUGCGUGCGUGCACGUGCGCGCGCACACACACACAUAUAUGGCUAUAUCUAUAAAGAUAGAUAUCAUAGUGCAAACAUAUAAGCUUUCAGUUAGAAAUUUAAAUGAAAGUAUAAAGGUCAUAGGAACAAAAACUUGAGCAAACUAGUGGGAAUUUAAAAAUUAGAAAGGUAUUUUUAAUCUAGGAGGAUUCUUAGAGUUGACGUGGACUACUUUGGCCACUACGAGUAGGAUUGGACAGGAUCUGGAAGCAAGAUCCACCACGUCGCAAAGUCGAGUCACCUGUCAAACUUCUGGAGGCCAUAACCUGGUCAUACUUCGGUUGAGAUUUUUUUUGGGUUAAAUUGAGCAGUUUUUUUUAGAUCUAUAAUGUGGCACCAUGCCUUUCAAGAGGCGAUGCUUCUAGCUAUCAGGCCCAAAUUCCAUUGUUUGGGGUGAUUGAUUAAAUCAAAAGUUUCUAUUUCGGAUAAGAAUUUGAUCCCACAUAUCUUCUAAUCUGAAAAAAAUUUGGUGGGGCAACAAAAUGUGGAGUUGAUAUAGAAGUUGAGAUUUAUUCCUUGAAAAAUUUUAAUUUUUUCGAGUUUAGUUCUAUGAGUUAUAUAUAUUUUAGAUAAAAGACUCAUACUAGAACUAAAAAAGAAUCCGACUAACCUUGCUAUUAUAAAUAGAUAUUGUGUACUUCGGUUUUAAAUCAAUCAAUUAAAGAAAUGAGACCUAAAUCCUACUUUUGAAAUUUUCUCAUCUAGUUUUCUUUGCGCGAUUCGAGUUGAAUGGAUUAAGAGGAAUCUUCCUUCUAUCCAAUCAGAUUAAGUUGGUAUCAAAGCGUCAAUCCUCUAGAUCUUAGUUUAUGGUUUAGACAUGCAAGCAAUAGAAGCAAUUAAGAGAAGGGCAAUCCAUUCUCCAAGUACAUCAAAGGACAAAGGCAAGGAUGCUUGCUAGCUUUUCCUUUAUGGAUAAUGAGAUGAAAGGAUGUCUCACAAAACUAGAAGAGAAAAUUGUCCAACUCACCAAGAUCGUCUCCAGCAAGGUUUGCCAUAUCGUGCCGAACCGGUCGGUACACCCUAUCUCGUACCGGACCGGCGGAAAACCGACACGAUUCGGUCGGUAAAAUCGGUACACCAGCGGUACCGAAGAAUAAAGAAUGAAAAGUGAGAAAGAGAGAGAGAGGGGAGGGAAGGGAGGGAGGUGGGAGCCAUCGGAGGCCGGUUGCGGCCGUUGGAGGGCUUUCGAGCUCCGUAUCGCCCGGUAGGACUUUCAAGAGAGCAAAAAAGAGAGAGAGUGCUCGGAGGGGGGGCGGAGAACCUACCGGACAGACGAUGCCUCCGUUGCGAGGCUCUCGGUGGCCGACGAGCCGACGCCGACGGUCUGAGGGCGGUCGAGCGGGCGGAGCCCCUCCGCGGCUUCGCCUNNNNNNNNNNNNNNNNNNNNCCUCCGUUGCGAGGCUCUCGGUGGCCGACGAGCCGACGCCGACGGUCUGAGGGCGGUCGAGCGGGCGGAGCCCCUCCGCGGCUUCGCCUCCUUCUUCUUUUUUCGAAACAGACGAUGUUCUGUUUUGUAGUUUUUUUUUUUUUAAUUUAUGAAGUCGGCAACUGGGUUGCCGACUUAAGAAUUUUUUUUAAAAAAACAAAAAUCGUGAAGUCGGCAAACGAGUUGCCGACUUAAGAAUUUUUAAAAAAACAAAAAUCAUGAAGCCGACAAAUCGUUUGCCGACUUCACUUAAAAUCAUGUUUUAAAAAAUUUGCGAAACAGGGGCGAUGCCUCUGUUUCACGCCUGCGGCGCCGUGCGCGUGGACGGCGCCCUCCGACGGCCACGGCGGCCAGUCGGAGGCCGUCCAGCGGCCCCGCCGGCUCCUUCCCCUCCUUUUUUUUUCUUCCUCUUUCUCUCUCAAUUUCUCUCUUUUUUCUUCUGGUUCGGGUCGUCGGUUCGGUACGGUAUGAAACCAUACCGAACCGUACCGCCGGCCGGUGAAACGGCCGACGGUAUCGAUUCAGCAAACCUUGGUCUCCAGAUUGACGAUAUCUCGGCACAAGUAUUAGCAACUUAUGUUGCUAAGCUAUUUCCCAUGUCUGGAGAUGAAUAUCCUCUAUCCAUCAAGGAUGAGUAACCUACAAGUACAUAAAAUCUCUCUUUAAUCCUUUGAAGUUGAAGUAUGAAUUAAUAUCCAUGUAUACAAUAAGACUGUCGAUACGAAGAAGCUAGAUUAUUGGUUAAAACAAUUAGAGACCUACUUUACUAUUUAUAGAUACUCUGGUGUCCAAAAUCUAGCUUUUGCUUGUCUCAAACUCUCUAGCUAUGCUUUUACUUGAUGGAACUAGCAUACAACCAUGCAAUGCAUAGGAUACUCUCUUUAUUUUAAAAAUAUAUAAUUUUAAAUAUUAUUUUUUAAUUAAUUACAUAAUUAUUUAGAAAAUAAUAUAUUUUAUGAAUAUAUAGAAUAUUUAUUUUGGUUAAUAAGUACUUUUAUUGAAGUUUAAUUAAAAAGAAUGCUUAAUAUCAUUAGACUUAAAUAAGAGAAUGAUGAAUAAAAAAUGAUUCUAUUAUUUUAAUGUUUUUACUCUAGCAUCAUCCAAGUAUCGUCGUAGAAUCUAGGAUAUACAUUUUGGAGUAAACAUAGAAUAUAUGUUUACAAAAAAAUUUAAGUGGCUCAAUCUGUAUAUAUUUAUUGUGAUUUGUGUACACAUUUAUUAAAAUCUAUGUUUGAGAUAAUUGCAAUCCAACUUUGUCUAGUAGCAGUAAGAAAAAAAUCUUUAAAUCCAACUUGACAGGGCCUAAAUUGUCUGGAUCAAACUUCGACUAAUAGAAUUGAACCAUUUAAGAGUUAUUCUUCUUAAGUUCGAGGGUGGUAUUAUAUGAUAUUGUACUGUGUAUUAUGUUAUAAUUGUUCCAAUUUAAAUUAUUAAGCUAGAGGUUAUUAUACUUUCCUCCAUUUAAGUGAGAGAGAGAGAGAGAGAGAGAGAGAUGGGGCGUUGCUUUUCCUAGAGUCUUGAGAAAGGUUAUUUGGCAAUGUAUAGAAUUCAAUUCUAGAAUAUUUACUUACCUUGUUAGGCUUUUAAAUGGCUCAUCUACCUUUUUGGGAAUAAUUAUCCAUAUAUGAGGCGAAAGCAUAGUCUGUACAUAUUAAGUGAGAGAGAGAUGGGACAUUGUUUUUCUUGGAGUCUUGAGAAAGGUUAUUGGCAACAUAUAAAAUUAAAUUUCUGAAUAAUUACUUGUUUAGCUUUUAAUUGCUCCAUCUAUCUUUUUGGGGAAUAAUUAUCUGUGCACGUGGAGAAAGCAUAGUCUGUACAAAUGGCAAAAGAAGAGCUUUACCAACAUAAAGCCUCCAUUAUAAUAUAUAUACACACACACACACACACUAGAUUCAAACAUGAGGAACGACAACAUUUCUAAUUUGAUAUGGAGUAAAUUCAAGGUCUCUCUCUCUCACUUAAAUGGAGCAAUUCUACCUAAUUAGCUACAAGAAGGAUCGGUGGAUCAAACGGCAAUAUGUGUAAUAGAAGUAUGAUCAAUCCAUUUAGGACUACAUUGAAUUGUACAAAUAGGCAAUCUCACUUGAAAUCUCUAUUGACAAUCAUGCAGUCUCAUGAAGUAUGGUCGAGAUUUCUAGAAGAGCAUUCGAAGGGAGCUGAAACUCUUCAAAGUUGAAGAUAUUAGUGAAGCCAGUAUGAAGGACAUGGGGAUUGAGGAGAAGAAUAGUCUAGGAAAGGCAAGAAGGGCGAUAAGUUUAGAAAAAGUGACAAAAAUUCAGGUCAGGAAGGAAAGUAAAGUAGAAAGGACAUCAACACAACUUAGAAACAUUACUACAACUACUUUAACCUUUGCAAAUACACCAAAUAAUAAUGUUGGAAUUUCACCCAUAGUUGCAGUCGAAGAGGAAGAAGCCAAAGGACGAUGAUUCUAACAAGAAAGAGAGGAUGAUUCUCAAUGCUGUAGAGAUUGAGGAGUUGUCCGAGCUUGAGAAAGUGGACUCCAAAUUGAGCUUGAUGGUGAGAAAAUCUAAGAUAGCAAUUGAGGUAGAUUUAGAGGUGUGAGAGAAACUCUAAAGAUCCAAGUGAAGCAGAGCAUUAUCGAGACUGUUAGAUUCUAAAAGCCAAAAUAAUCUGAAUAUUCAGAAGCUUGGGUUGCAGAUCCAACCUUAUCCAUGUACUUAACCUCUCAGUUGGAUUCGGAAAGAUGUUGAGUUGAAGAUUAUCGAGCGAUGUACCUGCAAGUUCGCCAUAGUUGAGAGCUAUAUUAAUGAGGUAACAUAUGAAGUAGUCGUUUGGAUGUUUGUUAGGCCAUCCUUAGGGAGCACGUAUGUUUGGGAUCGAGAUACAGUUUUCUAAGACAACAGAGAAAGUAUCAUCUCAUAAAAGAUGGGAAGGAGUUCAUGAUCAAUGCCUCCAAAACACAAGUGAACAUAGACAUUGCAACCACAACUUAAGCAAAGGGACUUGUUAAUGCUUGCAAUAAAUUUGUGAUGAUAGUACGAGAAGCUGAUGAGAGGCCAAGUUUUUGUCUCUUGGUUCAACCAACCAAUCAAACGAGAUCGAGAUUGAGAGAGAGUUGCUAUAAUCAUUAUGGACGAGAAGGAUGGCAAAGAGCAUCCCUACCAUGAAAUCUAGAUGCAGAAGUGGUUCAUUGAGACUUGAGAGAAAGGAAGAGCAAGGUCACGAAUCAUCUCUGAGCAAAGCCAAGUGAUUCAACAGUGAGAUAAGGGAAGUAGGUGUUUUUCCACCUUCAGUUCUAAUUUAGCGGGAGCUAAAUCCCCUGAACAUGGGAAGCCUUGAUCCAAAAGAAUCCUCAUAUUUGAUAUGGAUCACUUUGGCCACUACAAGUAGGGCUAGGUAGGGUCCGGGUGCAAGAUCUGCCUCAUUGAAAAAUCGAGUCAUAAGCCAAACUUCUAAAGGCCAUAAUUUGAUCAUAUGAUAUUUGAUUUAGAUGAUCUUUUUUUUAAAAAAAAUUGAAUAGUUUUUGAGAUCUACGAUGUGACAUUAUGCCCUUUAGGGGGUGGCGCCUCUAGCGAUCAUGCUCAAAUUCCAUUAUUUGAGGUCUAAAAUAGGUUGGUCAAAUUAAAAAUUUUCUUUUUGGAUAAAAUUUUAGCCGGACAUACCUUUCAAUCCGAGAAGAAUUAGUGGAGCGAUAGAAUGCGGAAUUGAUGUAGAAGUUGAGAUCUAUUUUUUAAAGAAUUUUAGUUUUUUUGAGUUUAUGUUAACUAGUCAUGUCUAUUUUAGAUAAAAAAAAGUCCUACUAAAAGUAGGAAGAGGAAUCUGAUGGACCUUGCUAUUCUAAAUGGAGGUUGUGUACUUCAAUUUAAAUCAAUCAAUGAAAAAAAAUGGGGACUUACGCCCUAUCUUUGAAAUUCUUUAAUUUUCUUCUAGUUUUCUUUUGCGUGAUUCGAGCUGAGUGAGUUGAGUAAAAUCUUUCUUCUCUCCGAUCCGAUUAAUUUUCCCCAUCUUGUCUAUAGUAUGUGAUUUUAUGGUGUAUGUGAGAUUUGUUCUCCAAAUGUUCUACUUCUCUAAACAGAUUCUUGCAAACCAAGUUAUGUUGGCUUAGAAUGUUGCUUGUGAUGGUAUUAGGAACUUGAAUUGUCCUUUCCUUUUCCGUUAUGAAUUUGGUUUGAUGGUUUGAAUUUGCCUGAUUUAAUCAAAAAUUUUGUUCAAGUGUUUCGUGAUUCAGGUCAUUGAUCCCAAAAAAAACUCUUUUCCUUUAUUACUAUGCAUCAUUUCAUGCUCGAUAAUCCAACACUAUGAUCGUUGUACGGGAUUCUAUAUUAUCUUCUCUCAUUUUCAGUAUCAAAUACAAAAUUUUGAUCUACAUACUGCAUGUAGAUUGAUCAUCGCAAAUUCAUCUACAUCAAUGGAUUAGUACAUUUUGUGGUUCCUUGUACGGGGAACUCAUGACCUUGAUGGAAAGGUUAUCAACCAACAAGCUGCACUUCUUUAGAUAGAAAUCUGAUUAAUAAAGCAUCUAAAUUACAAUAAAGAUGUUUAUAGUAAAAGGCUUUGGCUGACAUACACAAUGCCAUGGGUUUGAGUCCUUUGCGGUCACUUUAUGGAAAAGAAAUACCAAAGGGUCGGUCUGUCCUCAGUCCGCCCCUUCUAGAACCUUGGAGUGCUUGGACCAUAACAGGGUAAUUGCCCUUUUCAUAUGACAUGGUUUGUAAUAUUAGCAUGGUGAAUUAAAUCAUAUAGGAAAAAAAGGAAUAGCCAAUUUAUCUUCAAACCUAAAAGGCCAUUAUCUAGUUAUGAUCUCGGCAAUCCGGGGUUUUGGGAGAGACAAACUGGAGACAGGCCUAAGCUUUGGCAUCUUUUUUGAACAAAGUGACUAGCCCAAGGCUUGAAUCCAUGAAUCGAAUUUGUGCCAUUGUCUUGUUGUCACAAGCCUUUUACCAUUGCAUCAAGCAUUGACCCUUUAAAUUGAUCUUCAAAGUGGACAUCAUAUAGAUUUCGCUGUGCUAGUUUCCUAAAGAUUGAAGAUUUAUGCCGCAAUGGAAUUGAACAUCCAACCAUCUAGAAAAUAGUGGUUGAUGAAUUGAGUCACACUUUCGUAUCCAUUUGACAUAAAUGCAAGCCGUUAGUUUCAUCUUGGUGGCAUAAUUGUCUGUUGACUUUCGUUCACUUUAGUGUAUAUCAUUCUGUCCUUUGAUAUAUUUGUCCUAAAUAAUCAUUUUCCUUUUCUUUCAUGUCAGAAUGGUAACUUUCUUUUUUCUUUUAACUUAUUCUAGGUUAAUUCAGCCCCAUGUGAAUCACUUGAGAGGACAAACAUUUUGAAGUCAGAGUUGGCAUCACUAUCAGAAAAAAAUGCAGAAUUAAAGAAGCAGGUUAGGGAGCUAACUAUGAAACUUCAAUUGGCUGAGCAAGGAAAAGAUCAGGCUCAGAAGCAGUUUCUAGCUUUAGGAGUCCAGCCUAAAGCAGGUCCUUUUGGAACUGUCAAGAGUUUGAGAACAAAUCCAAAUGUCAUUCCCGAUGAAUCUGUGAACCCAAGAUUGGCAAAGAUACUAGAAAAGGUGGCUGUUCAGAAAGAGCUUAUAGUUGCUCUAGCAAAUUCUAAUGUAAGGGAGAUGGUGGAGACAUGGUUUGAGAAUAUCAAAAAAGUGGGUAUACCUAAUUAUCUAGUUGUAGCAUUGGAUGAUGAGAUGGAAAAUUUCUGCAAAUCUAAGGAAGUUCCUGUUUACCGAAGAAAACCUGAUGAAGGCAUAGAUUCUGUUGGAAGGACUGGUGGGAACCAUGCAGUGUCCGGAUUGAAGUUCCGCAUUUUGAGAGAAUUUUUGCAGCUUGGUUACAGUAUUCUUCUCUCAGAUGUGGAUAUUAUCUACUUACAGAAUCCGUUUAAUCAUCUCCACAGAGAUUCUGAUGUGGAAUCCAUGAGUGACGGUCACAAUAACAUGACAGCUUAUGGUUAUGAUGAUGUCUUUGAUGAGCCUAAAAUGGGAUGGGCAAGAUAUGCUCAUACAAUGCGGAUUUGGGUUUACAAUUCUGGUUUUUUCUAUAUCAGACCCACAAUUCCUUCAAUUGAGCUUUUGGAUCGUGUAGCAAGCAGGUUAUCUCGCGAAAAUGCAUGGGACCAGCAGGUCUUUAAUGAAGAGCUUUUUUUCCCCUCACGCCCAGGAUAUGAUGGGCUUCACGCAUCAAGGAGAACCAUGGAUAUGUAUCUUUUUAUGAACAGCAAAGUUCUUUUCAAGACGGUGAGAAAAGAUGCUAAUCUGCGCAAGCUAAAGCCUGUGAUUGUUCAUGUGAAUUACCAUCCAGAUAAGCUCCGUAGAAUGAAAGCUGUUGUGGAGUUUUAUGUCAAUGGAAAUCAAAAUGCACUGGAUCCUUUCCCUGAUGGUUCAGAGUAGUAUAUGGUCUCUUGCUCAGGGUUUUCACGUUUGCAAAAGCACAGGUUUUAACUGUACCUUGUAGACGUUACUUCCUGUAGGUCUGUCUAAAAAGCUUGUUGAUUGUAGUUUUCAGAAGUCGCUACCCUUGAACUUCUUAUUGAGUGCUGCUACCAGAAAUGCUUUUUUAUAAUUUAAAUACAACCCUUUUUUUACGCUCUACACUGCACUUUUUUCCCCUGGCUAAUUUGAUUUUACCGCCAAGCAAGGAAUUUAUUUGAAAGAUUUGGAUUUUACUAGCUUUUUUAUGUUUAUUUACUUGUUAGUGUUGGUUGGUGGCAUUACCAUUGAAAUAUGGCACUACCUUAUCCUUGUUUUUCUCAUCUGUCUGUGUGGAAAUGGUUCAUUGACUUGUUGAAAGAUAUUUAGCAUGAUCAGUAGCUUAGUACGUUGUUUAUGGGGUCAAGAUUCAGUACUUGUUGAAGCUUAUGUUUUGAGGAUCUGUAUAGUGUCACGCAGAGUUAUAUAAAAGUGGCAUGAUUUAGGUCUACUGCAGAAGUGGAAGGAAAGUGAAAUUUCUGCCUUGGCUCCCUCUGCAAUACAAUCAUCUGACAAGUUUUCAGUGCAUGCAACACAUGUUGGGGGACAUCCAUCUGAAUCCUACAAAUGCAGAGCAAAUGGGUAGGCUAGAUGAGUAUAUAAGCUCACUUUGUUUUUUUGGUACAUUAUAAGCUCACUUUGUUUAUACCAUGCUGAUGUCAUUGUUAUUAUUUUGGUAUGGUACAUUAUAAGUUCUUAUGUGUCUGCUUCAAAUAUUCUGGAGGACAGCGAUUCGUAAUUUAGAAGAAUGAAACAAAUUGAUUUAGCUUUGAAUUCCCCAAAAGAACUUGUCUUAGCUUGCAAACAGUGGGUAAUGCUCAGGUGGGGAGUGAAAUAGUUCAUUUUCUAAUGUUAGUUUUAAUGUUCUUGUGCAUUUAGGCAUGUCCCGUUAAGAAAAGACAGUUUGGAUCCAAAGACAAAUAUAAUAAGGGUAGUUUUAAACAUGAGAAAGAUAAAAUGUAGGACAAUCUCCAGCUCCAAAUCCCAAUUAAGUAGAGUUUGCAAUGGCUUUAUCCCACUGUCUCACCCUUCCAUCUAAGAACCGGAGUCCCUGUAGUUGAAUCUUGGGUGGUGCAUCUUCUAUGAUAUUUGAACUUGGAUAAUUAUAUUCAGGUGGGUUUGCCUCCUUUACUUUAAAAGUAAUAACGUUGUUGCAACCAGUUUAGAUUUUUAUAGAUUUCCAAGGUAUUAAGAUUCUAUAAAAAGCCUCUGACAUUUGAAUAAAUUUUGGAGAUACAAGUUCCAUUUCCUAUAAAUCCUCUCCCUGUUAAUAUAUUGAUAGAGAGAGAUAUUUGCAAUCAUUAGCAACUUUAAUGGAAAAGCAUUCCUUAGGCAACUUCGGUUAUUGAAGAUGACAAAAUGAUUUUUAACCAAAAAAAAUGUAACAAAAUGAUUUUCCUUUCCCUUGGAUUUACCUUCUUUCUCAAAACUUUGGUUACCCUCCCUAUUCUCUCUUGGUCUAUUUUCUCAAAAUUUUGAACCCUGACUCCCAUGCAAAAAGAUCUGUCAGUGCAUAAAAAGUCUCUCUCGUUUUUCUCUUUUGAUGGAUAUAUGGUUUCUUUUUCCCCCCAAACUGAAGUUCUAGAGGCAUGAAUUCAUGGUGACCCUUUUCUUCUUGGUAUUACUUUCAUUCUUCAUCAUAUUGUAAUUACUUAGUUUCAAAUUUUUGGAGACACUCCAUUCAAAAGCCAAACCGAGAAGCUCUGCUUGCGAAGCAGAGGUGUGAAAUCUAAAACAAUCCUAGUUCACAUGAUCAUUAAAUCAGUAAUGAGACAAUUGCACCUGUGAAUACAGUUUACUCAUUAUAUGGACCCAAAAAUUCUGUGCAUGCCCUUCAUGGAUAAAGACUGCUGUGCACAGAUAUACAUGAUCAUUAAAUCAGUAAUGGAUAAAUUCUCUGGGCGCGGAUCCUCUACCAAAAAGGCAGACUGCUUUCUCUUACAAAUGUUGCAAAUAUAACAUCCGAAGGAUUCAAACAGAGACCACUAGUUCUGCAGUUUCUCAUUAAAUAUUAUUCUCUGCAAUUAAAAAAAAAAAUCCAUGAUAACAUCAAAAGCUAGCAUCUUUCUAGUACGGACAAUCUGGUAUACCUGAGACGCUUCAUACUACCAUGGAGUGGCCUAUGAUUAGCAGUAAUAUAAAGACUGGAGAAGAAAAUGCAGUAGGUUCAUCUGAUCUCAGUUGUUACUUUUUUAGCUUAUGUUGUAGGCUCAAAUAUAACACCCAUUAGCCUGGCCUAAAGACUCGUAGGUUCUUUCGCCGGUUGAUGUGAUAAUGAUCCCAGCAUACAAGUUUCCCACGAUUGCAAACUAAGGAGAGUCGGAUGUAUGCAACCUUACUUCUGCAUACAAAAAUGCUAUUUUCAUAUUUUGAACCUGUUAUACCUAAGUCAUUAUAGAGCAGUCUUACCAUUGUGCCAAUGCCAGCCCUCCAAUUUAUGUGAUAAUGACACUUAAUGUAUAACACCAGGCUAAUGCAAUCUUUUGCAAUUAUCAGUUACUGCACAGAAGUCUGUCAUCCUUAUUUCUUCAAAUUGAUAACUGGUUCCUGACACAAACAAGAAGUGAUGAUUAAAUCCCUAUAUCCUCUUGAGUAUAUUUACAGCAAUGCACUACAGGCUACCAAAGCAAAAUAAUGGGUCAAAAACCUGUGGAGAGGUACAUGUAUUCCAGCAGAUCAGAGAGUAAAAGACCCAGAGUACAAUGACAAAAGGAAAAGAGUUCUUCACCUAACUCUACGCUGAGCCAUUGAAGUUUAGCAACUUCGCAUUUGGCCAACUGAAUCCUGCCAAACUAUGAGGAAGAUGACUGCUGCUUUCAGCAUCAAUUGAAUGCAUGAAUGGCGAAUCACCACUAAUAAUGUCUUCAAGGGAAGAUUUUUACUCAGCUCCUUCUGUUUCAAGCAAAAAAAUGUUCAAUCAAUACCAUGUUAAAUUUAUAUUACGCAUGAUGGUCUGAACAUAGAUAAUAGAGCCAAUGCUCUGGAACCAAAGCUCAUGUGUUAAAGGCUUUGUUGAACAUAUGUUGUUCAACUUGAGGCACCGGGGGCAGCAGAAUGCAAACAUGUUGCAGAAAAUACUUCUUAAUGCCCCAAAAAAUUGAUUUUUUACCAACCAGGAGUUGGCCCAAAGUGGUUGGAAUCUCUCCUCUGUCAGAACUCAGGCGAGGUCACAUGCUUGAAUCAUAUUAAGAUGCAUCAAAAGUAAGAUUUUAAAUCCUGUGGAACAGAACUAUUCUGAUUUUCUCAUGAAAUCAGAUGCACCACCGUCCCACCUCAUCCCGACAUUUAGAACAAUAGAUGUCUCAAGAUAUCCUGAUCAGGACGCUGGGAUGCUGGUAACUGUUCUGAUUUUCUUAUGAAACGAGAUGUACCGCCAUCCCGCUUCAUCCCGACAUUUAGGACAAUGGAUGUCUCAAGACGUCCCGAUCAGAAUGCUGGAAUGCCGGUGAGACGGUUCUAUCCAGAAAUAUGAAAUAUACCCCAUCCCGAUGUCCCAUAAGAUGUUCCAUCAGGAUCUGAAUCCUUGAUAGAUUCGUUGGGUGGAGCAAUUUAAGAUGCUUAUGCCCAAUAUAGGGGCCCUAUAUUUAAACUUUCAAGCUUAAUUUCAUUGAAAAAAAUAAAAUAAAAGAUAAAAUUAUGAAUAAAACAAGAUAAUGUCGAGUGGAGAAAGAUGGAGUGGAGUUACUAGCUGCAAGUGAUGCAUUUUCUGAAUCCAGCUUCUUGCAGUCUACAUCAAAUUGUUCAAGCUCAUGUCCGAAGUGCACUGUUCUCUGUUCAGCAUAUCCACCCUCCUCACCAAACCCUGGCAUUCUUGCCGGUGAAAAAGAACAUACUCAAAUAUAUAUAAUCAAGUCCCAAAUUUUAUUAUAGGUCCCACAGAACCACUAAGCUAGAUACAAAAAUAACAUAAGAAUCAAAGAGCACCAAGCACCACCAUUAAAGAUUGAUUCAACAUUUAAUGAAUAGACGUUUAUUUAUGGCAUUUUCGUGGGUGCAUCCUUCCUCAACAUGGGAGGAGGCUCUGGGUUUGGGUCCUGGUGGUGGGGUCGACAGAGAGAGAGAGAGAGAGAGAGAGAGAGACAAGCACGAAUGCUAAAGCCAGUCUAAAUUGGAAAAAAGAAAAUAAUAAAACAAAAAGGUUGCAUGUGCUAGAAAAUACCAUGGUAAGAGGGAAGGGGGCGAGUCCGAAUCGGACUCUUCUUCCCCGAUGGAAGAAGACCGAUUUCGAGAAGGAAUCAAUCUAAAAAGAUCGCCCCAGACUUAGAUUCUAUGCCUAUUUAUAUCUAUCCCCAUUUUCCUUUCCCAACUCAGUUUCCGAUUCCCCACCGCUGAAUGUCAUUGGACCUUUUUCCCUUCCAAUUUGUUUGACUACUGUCAUUGUGUUUGAUGGAAAAAGCCACUGAAGCAUCACUGGAAUGAGGUAAAAAGCCCCCCAUCUUCUGAUCAACCCUUUUCCCCAUCUUUUUGACUCUUGGAAUUAUGAUUUCUGAUGAGUUAAUUGUCAGAUUGCGGUGGAGAUUUAGAUGCUCUGUUUUUUCUCCCAUGUUUGAUUUGAUUUUUGGCACUGUUUACCACUGCCGGAGUUCUUGGUUACCAUUGUGGUCUGCCCUUCCGGCCACGGCAUUGUUGGCUAGAGGAGACCUCUCCUGCCUCGAGAACAUGGGGAUAAAAGAGACGAAAAAAAAAAAAAAAAAAAAAAAAAAAAAAAANAAAAAAAAAAAAGAAAAGAAAGAAA